Molecule: ribosomal RNA, 253 nt
Filed under: uncultured bacterium
Lineage: Bacteria
Description: partial 16S ribosomal RNA
Rfam family: Bacterial small subunit ribosomal RNA
Source: RNAcentral
UACAGAGACUGCAAGCGUUAUUCGGAUUCACUGGGCGUAAAGGGUGCGCAGGCGGCCGAGUGUGUGAGGCGUGAAAGCCCGGGGCUUAACCCCGGAAUUGCACCUCAAACUACACGGCUAGAGCAUUGGAGAGGGUAGCAGAAUUCACGGUGUAGCAGUGAAAUGCGUAGAUAUCGUGAGGAAUACCAGAGGCGAAGGCGGCUACCUGGACAAUUGCUGACGCUCAGGCACGAAAGCGUGGGGAGCAAAAGGG